Molecule: long non-coding RNA, 965 nt
Organism: Doryrhamphus excisus (bluestripe pipefish)
Lineage: Eukaryota; Metazoa; Chordata; Actinopteri; Syngnathiformes; Syngnathidae
Source: RefSeq, a predicted model, not a curated record
UUUUCUGUCCCAUCCGGCGGAGGGUGCAAAGAGGCACGGAGGCCCGAAGACACCAAGCAGCCUCCUAGGGCUUUCACAUCCGUGGGAGCCUGCUGCUGCUGUCCACAGGUUACACACAGCAGUACCUCAUCCACACCAAUAUUUACAGACAACGUUGCGGAAGGAAGCCAUUUUGGUGACAUCAUAAACAAAUACCACUGCAUGGACAUUCCGGUAGUAGUGUUCCACCAUGGAUUUUCGAAAUCUCUCCUGACCUGCCGUGUCCCAUACUUGUACCUGGAGAAGAGACAGGUAUGUGUUUAAAGGUUUGGAUCCAGUGGUAUUUGGGACGGCUUCCAUUUUAUGUUAAGCCCUGAUGCUACUCAGCCGUGGCGUACCACAGUGUCUUCUUCUUUUGUCAGUGCUCCUUAAGGGCUGAAAGAAAUGAAGAAAAAGUACUACACAUAAAGGUUUUACAGAUUUAUCAGGCGGGCAAAGAGAAAGUGAUUGUUCUUCCUCUCUUUGAACUAGACAGGUGCUUCGUUUCUCACAAGGGAUAUUUCAUGGCACUCACCUGAGGGCUCUUAUAAAUAAAUACAAACAUUGACAACUUUUCUUAGAUUACCAUUUGAAAGGUCUGUUUUUGGGUUUGUUUGUUUUUCUAUCAGAGGAUGAAAACAGAACACCACUGCCUUGUGGGACGGAGGACUGGUAAUGAUUACUGGUUAUUAUUUAGACAGUAAUCAAUAACACAUUAAAAUAGCAAAGAUUUGUAUCAUUGUGUUUGUUAGCAAGUUAAAAUAACAAUAAUACCACAAUUGUUGAACCGUCAGAGUUCAGCCUUGUCAGAUGGCAACAAAUCUGCUGCUUUUUUAUAUGCCUCAAAUCAGACUAAAAAGGACCUGACCUAAUAGAAUAACGAGUGUGCUUUAAUGAGUCAGCAUUUUGGGCUUUCUGGAGGUUGCAGACAGGAUAGGCUUGUCAGC